Molecule: small RNA, 239 nt
Filed under: Arabidopsis thaliana (thale cress)
Lineage: Eukaryota; Viridiplantae; Streptophyta; Magnoliopsida; Brassicales; Brassicaceae
Description: ATSL208440
Source: RNAcentral
ACAUAUAUCUAAAUUCCUCCAGCAAUUUGAAAUGCAAUCAGUUUCAAGUCAGCAACUGGCAAAACGGUGAAAACAACGAAACACGAUUUCAACGCCGAUGAAGAGGCAAAAACAGAACAUACUUGACAAAAACCUUAAGAACACAACAAAAACCCACCGAAAUCAGAAAGUCACACCAGUAAAUCGCAGAUCUAAACCAAACCCGACAACAUGCUUUACUCACAAUAACAAUCCCUUAA